RNAcentral lists this long non-coding RNA (256 nucleotides) under Capsella rubella. RNAcentral's name for it is "long non-coding RNA (CRUB_LNC004633)". Lineage: Eukaryota; Viridiplantae; Streptophyta; Magnoliopsida; Brassicales; Brassicaceae. The record is from RNAcentral.
AGGCAUAUGACAAAAUUGGCGAUAGUAUAUCGAUCGCUAACGCAUAUAGGUUGCUUUUUUAAUUUGUAACAAAAACAAAACAAGCUUUAUGUAAUAAUAUUUUUCGUUUCUUUAAAUUUUUUUUUUCAUUUUAUAAAUUUUUCAUGUGAGUCACGACAUAUGUAUAUAUAUUAUAUUUCAACACAGCCGGUCAAAGAUUCAGUUGGAGUAGGUAGAGGAUUGUGUCGGAUUAUUAUAUAUAAACUUUGUAACGUUU